AUACGGAGGACGCGAGCGUUAUCCGGAUUCAUUGGGUUUAAAGGGUGCGCAGGCGGCCGUGCAAGUCAGCGGUGAAAGCCCGGGGCUCAACCCCGGAAGUGCCGUUGAUACUUCCGAGCUGGAAUACGGAUGCCGUGGGAGGAAUGAGUAGUGUAGCGGUGAAAUGCAUAGAGAUCACACAGAACACCGAUUGCGAAGGCAUCUCACGAAGGGGUGAUUGACGCGGAGGCACGAAAGCGUGGGGAUCAAACAGGAGUAGAUACCCUGGUAGUCCACGCAGUAAACGAUGAUAACUAACCGAUGGGUCGUAGUGAUUCAGUGGCCAAGCGAAAGCGAUAAGUAAUCCACCUGGGGAGUACGACCGCAAGGUUGAAACUCAAAUGAAUUGUCGGGG
RNAcentral lists this ribosomal RNA (394 nucleotides) under uncultured bacterium. RNAcentral describes it as "partial 16S ribosomal RNA". It matches the Rfam family "Bacterial small subunit ribosomal RNA", at positions 523 to 918 of the family's 1533-position model. The record is from RNAcentral.